ACUCCCCACAUCACCCAGCAAGCUCUCCACUCCCCACACCACCCAGCAAGCUCUGCACUCCCCACACCACCCAGCAAGCUCUGCACUCCUCACAUCACCCAGCAAGCUCUCCACUCCCCACAUCACCCAGCAAGCUCUCCACUCCCCACAUCACCCAGCAAGCUCUCCACUCCCCACAUCACCCAGCAAGCUCUGCACUCCCCACACCACCCAGCAAGCUCUGCACUCCCCACACCACCCAGCAAGCUCUGCACUCCUCACAUCACCCAGCAAGCUCUCCACUCCCCACAUCACCCAGCAAGCUCUGCACUCCCCACACUACCCAGUAGCUGAGUGCUGGAUGCAGUUAUCCUUGUGUCAGUGAUCUCAUACAUGGGAUAGAUUCAGGAUCCGCCUGCCUUGUAUCAGACCCCUGGAUGGUGGGUUCUCUGUAUCUGGGUGGAUCAGACCAUUGUCUCCCACAGACGCCUUCGGCGUCAUGAUGGACAGAGCCAGCUCAUUUCUUACACCCUAGAUUUAUCCAGA
Molecule: long non-coding RNA, 525 nt
Organism: Pseudophryne corroboree (corroboree frog)
Lineage: Eukaryota; Metazoa; Chordata; Amphibia; Anura; Myobatrachidae
Exons: 3
Source: RefSeq, a predicted model, not a curated record